RNAcentral lists this ribosomal RNA (534 nucleotides) under uncultured bacterium. RNAcentral's name for it is "bacterial SSU rRNA". It matches the Rfam family "Bacterial small subunit ribosomal RNA", at positions 28 to 526 of the family's 1533-position model. The record is from RNAcentral.
GACGAACGCUGGCGGCGUGCUUAACACAUGCAAGUCGAACGAUGAAGCGGCCAGCUUGCUGGUGGUGGAUUAGUGGCGAACGGGUGAGUAACACGUGAGUAACCUGUCCUUCACUCUGGGAUAAGCCCUGGAAACGGGGUCUAAUACUAGAUAUUCUCAAUGUGCCGCAUGGUGUGUUGUGGAAAGAUUUUUUGGUGAGGGUUGGACUCGCGGCCUAUCAGCUUGUUGGUGGGGUAGUGGCCUACCAAGGCUUUGACGGGUAGCCGGCCUGAGAGGGUGACCGGCCACACUGGGACUGAGACACGGCCCAGACUCCUACGGGAGGCAGCAGUGGGGAAUAUUGCACAGUGGGCGCAAGCCUGAUGCAGCGACGCCGCGUGGGGGAUGAAGGCCUUCGGGUUGUAAACUCCUUUCGCCAUUGACGAAGCGAAAGUGACGGUAGGGGAGGAAGGUGGUGAGGUUAAUAAGCUCAUCAAUUGACGUUACCCGCAGAAGAAGCACCGGCUAACUCCGUGCCAGCCGCCGCGGUAACAC